GAUCUCGUCAAGCAUCGCUGCACCGCCUCAGGCUUAUUGAAGAAUUGGGUAGGGAACACCGAAAGAAUGUUUCAUUCGCACUCACGGGAAGAAGGAUGACACUCUCGAGGGUGAGCGUGCUACACAAAUUGUUGAACAAUUUGAUAAAGCCAUUGCAGAUAAGCGUGAUCAAGGAGAAGAUGAGAAUUCUAUCAACCAAAAUGAAUUGUGGGACCGCAUUGCUGUUGGAAGUCGUAAUAGAGUGUUGGGAAAGGG
Dioscorea cayenensis subsp. rotundata (Guinea yam) is the source of this 255-nucleotide long non-coding RNA. RefSeq lists it as uncharacterized. The transcript has 3 exons. Lineage: Eukaryota; Viridiplantae; Streptophyta; Magnoliopsida; Dioscoreales; Dioscoreaceae. The record is from RefSeq and is a predicted model, not a curated record.